AGGAAUUGUGCUAUAUAAAUAAACUUGCCUUGCCUUCACACAGUCCCUACACUGACCAAAGCACUGUUACAGUUGGGAGCCUCAUAUCAACAGUUGCACAUAAUGAAACCUUUAGUGAACCAUCUUCUAAUAACUUUUUUGGGACUUUCAGUCAUUUAGAGGAGACCUAGCAACAUCCCUGAUCAUCCACUCCCCCAAAACAGUUUGUUGAUAUUUGAGCUCAACAGUGUUGACGGGCCAAGCCACUAUGUUUCCCAUUUACAGAGCCAGGACUGUUUUUAACACCAGAGGUUUUUUUCUGAGCACACACACUGAUCUGAUCCCAGACCUGUGUGUGUGUGUGUACCCCAGAGUAAGUCAGGGGUCUAGGCGGGGGAGUUUGUGUCUGCCGCUGCUAAAGAGGGCUCCUGAUUCACCGCCUGUUUGUUUCUCCUGGCACCAGGCAGAGCUGGAGCUGGAGUGCGUCCGUUCGGCUUCUAGCCUCCCGCUUACACAUCCUGCCCUGUGUCAACCACCCCCCCUCCACUGAACUGUUUGUCAAGGACCACGUGUUUAUUUUUAUUUAUUUUUACAUUUAUUUUUCACUUUUUGUCGGUGUUUUGAGGUUGGCAGAGGCUGUUAAUGUUGUCUUGGUAGAGAUGGAGGGAGAGUAUUGUAGCAAUCACGCUGUAGAGUCGCUGAACUGCCCCAGAGGCUCUCGUAGCUGAACUGCCCCAGAGGCUCUCGUAGCUGGCCCUUUUGGCUCUGGUCCAGCCCUUCGCAAGUCUGCUGCCACAGCUCCUCGGUGGCCUGCCUGGUCUCCGCUGUCGGUGGCCCUCUCUGUGUGUGUUGGUCUCUGGAAGCUGCUGGCUGUUGGGGGGGGGGGGGGGGGGGGGGUUGUGUGUGUGUGUGUGUGUGUGUGAAGAUACUUCCUCUGUGUGGAUGCUCUGGACGGACAGCUUGCCCUGGGCAGCUCUCUUUCGUGUACAGCGGCGGCGCUGUCUCUGCGGACGGGUGCAGGCUCUUCAGGGGUGGGCGUGGCUUCAGCUUGGAAACAAUGGCGACACCUCUAGUCUAGGGCCCAUCCUCUCCCGCGGUAUGAAGAGCUACGACUUCAGUUCAAAGGCUGCGCUGUGUCGGUCCUCUGCUGAACACCACCUGGCCAGCAAGUCCAGUCCAAUGAUGCAGUUGUCCUGAAUGCUGGAGAGCAAGAAUGGGUGUUGUUACGGCAACGAGCACUUGUAAGG
Clupea harengus (Atlantic herring) is the source of this 1226-nucleotide long non-coding RNA. The record is from Ensembl. Lineage: Eukaryota; Metazoa; Chordata; Actinopteri; Clupeiformes; Clupeidae.